GACGAACGCUGGCGGCGUGCUUAACACAUGCAAGUCGAACGGAAAGGCCCUGCUUUUGUGGGGUGCUCGAGUGGCGAACGGGUGAGUAACACGUGAGUAACCUGCCCUUGACUUUGGGAUAACUUCAGGAAACUGGGGCUAAUACCGGAUAGGAGCUCCUGCUGCAUGGUGGGGGUUGGAAAGUUACGGCGGUUGGGGAUGGACUCGCGGCUUAUCAGCUUGUUGGUGGGGUAGUGGCCUACCAAGGCUUUGACGGGUAGCCGGCCUGAGAGGGUGACCGGCCACAUUGGGACUGAGAUACGGCCCAGACUCCUACGGGAGGCAGCAGUGGGGAAUAUUGCACAAUGGGCGGAAGCCUGAUGCAGCAACGCCGCGUGCGGGAUGACGGCCUUCGGGUUGUAAACCGCUUUCGCCUGUGACGAAGCGUGAGUGACGGUAAUGGGUAAAGAAGCACCGGCUAACUACGUG
This 468-nucleotide ribosomal RNA is filed under the name uncultured bacterium. RNAcentral's name for it is "partial 16S ribosomal RNA". It matches the Rfam family "Bacterial small subunit ribosomal RNA", at positions 28 to 507 of the family's 1533-position model. The record is from RNAcentral.